CCCCUAGUAACUGCGAGUGAAGCGGGAAAAGCUCAAAUUUAAAAUCUGGCGGCUUCGUCGUCCGAGUUGUAGUCUGGAGAAGUGCUUUCCGCGCUGGACCGUGUAAAAGUCUCUUGGAACAGAGCGUCAUAGAGGGUGAGAAUCCCGUCUUUGACACGGACCCCCAGUGCUUUGUGAUGCGCUCUCAAAGAGUCGAGUUGUUUGGGAAUGCAGCUCAAAAUGGGUGGUAAAUUCCAUCUAAAGCUAAAUAUUGGCGAGAGACCGAUAGCGAACAAGUACCGUGAGGGAAAGAUGAAAAGCACUUUGGAAAGAGAGUUAAACAGUACGUGAAAUUGCUGAAAGGGAAACGCUUGAAGUCAGUCGCGUCGCUCGGAACUCAACCUUGCUCUUGCUUGGUGUAUUUUCCGUUUGACGGGCCAGCAUCAAUUUUGACCGUCGGACAAAGGCUUGGGGAAUGUGGCAUCUUCGGAUGUGUUAUAGCCCCUUGUCACAUGCGGCGAUUGGGAUUGAGGGUUCGAGCACUUGUGCUUCGGAUGCUGGCGUAAUGGCUUUAAACGACCCGUCUUGAAACACGGACCAAGGAGUCUAACGUGCCCGCGAGUGUUUGGGUGUUAAACCCGAGCGCGUAAUGAAAGUGAAAGUUGAGACCUCUCACGAGGGCAUCGACGCCCGGACCAGACCUUCUGUGACGGCUCCGCGGUAGAGCGUGUAUGUUGGGACCCGAAAGAUGGUGAACUAUGCCUGAAUAGGGUGAAGCCAGAGGAAACUCUGGUGGAGGCUCGUAGCGAUUCUGACGUGCAAAUCGAUCGUCAAAUUUGGGUAUAGGGGCGAAAGACUAAUCG
RNAcentral lists this ribosomal RNA (842 nucleotides) under Dacryobolus angiospermarum. RNAcentral's name for it is "partial large subunit ribosomal RNA". It matches the Rfam family "Eukaryotic large subunit ribosomal RNA", at positions 77 to 937 of the family's 3401-position model. The record is from RNAcentral. Lineage: Eukaryota; Fungi; Basidiomycota; Agaricomycetes; Polyporales; Dacryobolaceae.